CCUACGGGUGGCUGCAGUCGAGAAUCAUUCACAAUGGGGGAAACCCUGAUGGUGCGACGCCGCGUGGGGGAAUGAAGGUCUUCGGAUUGUAAACCCCUGUCAUGUGGGAGCAAAUUAAAAAGAUAGUACCACAAGAGGAAGAGACGGCUAACCCGGUGCCAGCAGCCGCGGUAAUACAGAGGUCUUAAGCGUUGUUCGGAAUCACUGGGCGUAAAGCGUGCGUAGGCUGUUUCGUAAGUCGUGUGUGAAAGGCGCGGGCUCAACCCGCGGGCGGCACAUGAUACUGCGAGACUAGAGUGAUGGAGGGGGAACCGGAAUUCUCGGUGUAGCAGUGAAAUGCGUAGAUAUCGGGAAGAACACUCGUGGCGAAGGCGGGUUCCUGGACAUUAACUGACGCUGAGGCACGAAGGCCAGGGGAGCGAAAGGGAUUAGAUACCCGUGUAGUC
Molecule: ribosomal RNA, 446 nt
Filed under: uncultured bacterium
Lineage: Bacteria
Description: partial 16S ribosomal RNA
Rfam family: Bacterial small subunit ribosomal RNA
Source: RNAcentral